Pelobates cultripes (western spadefoot toad) is the source of this 696-nucleotide non-coding RNA. The record is from the annotation of a GenBank genome assembly. NCBI's taxonomy places the organism in Eukaryota, Metazoa, Chordata, Amphibia, Anura, Pelobatidae.
AGACAGGUUUCUCUGACACUAACUUGUGACUUGAAUGGAUGAAAUACAAUGCUACUAAACAUAACAAGUCUAACUGCUAUGUCUGCAGAGGAGCGAGGCCUCACCCAGGUACAGUAUCCCUGAACCUUCCUCCGGAUAUGAAGUAUGCGUUUUAAGUCUCUACACUGUAUUUAAACCUAAGCGGUCAGCAUGCGAGUCAUGGAAACUUAAUACCCAAUCAUUACUAAAAAUAUUAUGCCCAGACGAAGGCAUUACUAUAUAUCCCGGGAACUAUACUUGUUAUGGGAUAUAUGGUGGGAUAGGGCGGUUACAAGCUACCUCUGAGAUGACCUUCCAGAAUAGAAUAAGCUUAAAAAUGAUUUUGGCAGAAAAAGGGAGAGUAUGUAAAAUACUCCCAGACACCAUAACAUGCUGUACCUAUAUUCCAGAUAAUACAGGCCCUAAUGGUAAGGUAACGUUGGCAAUAGAAAAGUUAAAGAGUUUGUCCAAUGAACUGAAACGAAAUUCUGGGGCCAGAGAUCCAUGGGAAAGAUGGUUUGGAUGGAUGACUGGAUGGCAAGGUGCUCUGACCCAAAUAGGUGUUGCCAUUUUAAUAACGAUAAUCAUCCUCGCUCUUCUUGUUUGUUGUGUGUUACCCUGUCUUAAGAAAUGCCUACAAAAGACAGUUGAUCAGACAAUCGACCAGACCACCCCAAC